UACUUAUCAAGAGAGGUGGAGGGAAAGGCCCUAUGAAACCCAGCAACCUAUAUGCUUAUCUGCAUAUAAGGUGCUAAAUCCUACAGCAUAGGCUGAGAGAUAAGAA
This 106-nucleotide non-coding RNA is filed under the name Alkaliphilus oremlandii OhILAs. Its description in RNAcentral is "SAM riboswitch aptamer (S box leader)". It matches the Rfam family "SAM riboswitch aptamer (S box leader)". From Rfam's summary of the family: The SAM riboswitch is found upstream of a number of genes which code for proteins involved in methionine or cysteine biosynthesis in Gram-positive bacteria. The SAM riboswitch acts at the level of transcription termination control. The predicted structure consists of a complex stem-loop region followed by a single stem loop terminator region. RNAcentral also lists the same sequence under 1 other name. The record is from Rfam by way of RNAcentral. Lineage: Bacteria; Bacillati; Bacillota; Clostridia; Peptostreptococcales; Natronincolaceae.